GGACGGGGCCCGCACAAGCGGUGGAGCAUGUUGGUUUAAUUCGAAGCAACGCGAACGUAACCUUACCAGGUCUUGACUAUCCCGAUGCUAUUUCUAGAGAUAGAAAGUUACUUCGGUACAUCGGUGACAGGUGGUGCAUGGUUGUCGUCAGCUCGUGUCGUGAGAUGUUGGGUUAAGUCCCGCAACGAGCGCAACCCCUACGUUUAGUUGCUAACGCGUGAAGGCGAGCACUCUAGACGAACUGCCGUUGACAAAACGGAGGAAGUGGGGAUGACGUCAAAUCAUCAUGCCCCUUAUGUUCUGGGCUACACACGUGCUACAAUGGCCGGUACAGACGGACGCAAAGCCGCGAGGUGGAGCAAAUCCUAAAAAGCCGGUCUCAGUUCGGAUUGCAGGCUGCAAUUCGCCUGCAUGAAGUCGGAAUCGCUAGUAAUCGCAGGUCAGCAUACUGCGGUGAAUACGUUCCCGGGCCUU
This 474-nucleotide ribosomal RNA is filed under the name uncultured Pelotomaculum sp. RNAcentral's name for it is "bacterial SSU rRNA". It matches the Rfam family "Bacterial small subunit ribosomal RNA", at positions 916 to 1381 of the family's 1533-position model. Lineage: Bacteria; Bacillati; Bacillota; Clostridia; Eubacteriales; Desulfotomaculaceae. The record is from RNAcentral.